This is a long non-coding RNA of Bos indicus x Bos taurus (hybrid cattle), 2886 nucleotides long. Lineage: Eukaryota; Metazoa; Chordata; Mammalia; Artiodactyla; Bovidae. The record is from Ensembl.
GUAACUUCUGUUUUCUGACAUGUACUUGCAACAAUGUAAGUCAGCAUUUUUCAUUUAACACAAUAUGAAUUCAAGAAAACAGUAAAACAUUGGAGGAAAAAAAAAAAAAACAUGCACCAGAAGAAGUCAACAUGAGUGUCAGAGGAGUGGAGAAUGGAAGUCUCGUCUCUGUCUUAGAUGAUGCCUACUUGUCCUUCUUGACCAGUCAACAAUGGCCCCUUCUGAGUCUCCUCAUGUUUCAGGAUUUCCUCUUCAGCAUGCUGAACUACUCAACUCUGCUCGACCCCCACUGUCCAAUAUCCACUAUCCAACACAGGCUUGCUUCUGCCUCUGAGAAGCUACGUAAAUGUCGUGGAGGAUCAGAAAUGAGUAUGGAUGUGUGCAAAUACUUGAAAAAGUCUUUCUGCCCCUAUGAAGAGAGACUCUAUGAUAUGUUUUGAAAUAUGAGUAUGAUUUUACCAACGAGGCUCAAGAAGAACAUUCCAGAAAACUGAUGUAAAGUUGGAAAAAUUAAAAAUACACUAAGUAGUCCAUUGGGAUGAAGCACAUUGAUGAAGCAUCACUUACCACAGUGAUGGUAAGCAGGGCUGAAAGAUAUGUGGAGACAAUAUUAAUAACAUCCUUAAAUAUCAGGCUGUAAAUAGUAUUUACAGGAAAUGGUGAGCCACUGAAGACUUUGGUCAUGAGUGAAACAUUAUAAGAGAUCUGAAAAUAGUAAGAUUCCUUUAGGAGUUUCCAGAGGAAAUGUGGAUGCUGCUUUCUGUCUUAGUCUCUUUUGGCCUCCCUUGGUCAUUGGCUUCCAAGGUCUGAAUAGAGAUAAUCUACCCCAUUGUAAGUAAUUUAGAGAUUGAAGUUGAGAGUUUGAUCAAAGUAGAUCCUAAAAUAGAGUAAAAUCCUCAUAGCAGUUUUACUAUUACAUUUUCCAUUAUAAAGCUGAGUAAGCUGAGGAACAAACAGAUUAAAUAAUCUGCCCAAGGUCACACAGUUAAUGGCCAAUAGAAAAAAAGAGCGACAUAGACAAAAAGAGAGAGAGAUUGAGAAGUAAACCAAACAUGCAUUGUUGAAUUGUUAUAGAAGCAAAUACCAUUAGACAUUUGCUUAAUGUAUUAUAGCCUUGGGUAAAUUAAUUUAAAGCACUAGAAUUUUAAUGGAGAUUAAUGAGUUGAAUUAAUAGUUAGAAUUUUUAAAUAUAUGGCUGAAUAUUUUGGUAGUUUUAGUUAAAUAUUUCUCAACUGCCUUUUUAUAUUGACUGAACAGUUCUAAUCAAAAAAGAUUACACAGAAAUAUUUUAUGUAUUCUGAGUGUUCAAGGCUCUGGUUCCUUUUGAAGAACUAACAGAGAUAUUUGAAGCAUGAACAAAGAGAAAAGCCUUCUUACUUUAAUUGUAGACAAAUAAUUUUCCUUAAUACUUAGUGAACACUAAGUAGAUUUGGUUCUGGAAAGUAAGGACAAGAGUCAUUCUGCAACCUUUUUUUUUAAUGAAGAAAACAUUCUUAUUAAUGCAGCUUAGGCUUGUUUGCUCCAUUUAACAGCUAUUCAUGUGUAUUCUCAGAUGGUAUGUGUGAAAAAGUCAGUUAUAAAAAAUGUUGUAAGCACCUUAUUCAGAAUAAGGUAGCACCUUCCCUGGUGGCUCAGACAGUAAAGUGUCUGUCUACAAUGCGGGAGACCCGGGUUUGAUCCCUCGGUUGGGAAGAUCCCCUGGAGAAGGAAAUGGCAAUCCACUCCAGUACUAUUGCCUGGAAAAUCCCAUGGACAGAGGAGCCUGGUAGGCUACAGUCCAUGGGGUCGCAAAGAGUCAGACAUGACUGAGCGACUUCACUUCAUAGCAUUCCCUCCACCCCAUCAUAUCACUUACCUGCAUAAGGAUAAUUGUAGCUGUAUAGGUGCUCAAAUAAUUAAAAAUGGGAUAUCAUUCAGAGAAUGAUUAUUCAGGAAAAAGCAGUAAUAUUUUUUUCCUUCUAGUCUCCAAAGAGGGAAAAUUAUAAUUCAUAUAUAUAUAUAUACAUAUAUAUAUAUAUAUAUUUUUUUUUUUUUUUUUACUUCUUUCCUGGUAAACCAUUUAGCCUAAGAACAAAUGUUUCUUUUCUAUUCAUCUUUUGGCUAGUAUUUCCUCCAGAUACUUAAAGAGAUGGGUCACAUCCCCAUUAAUAUUGAUUUUGUCCCUUUCUUCGAGCUAGACCAUCAUGAGGUUAAACUUUUGCAUAAGUAUACCAAUAUGUAUAUACCUCAUUUUCUUAGAGCUAGAUCAUCAUAAGGUUAAUCUUUUGCCUAAGUAUACCGAUAUGUGUAUACUUCAUUUUCAUAAUUAAGCUGCAAAAUGUGUCACUUAGUCAUGGCUGGCUCAUUAUGACCCCAUGGACUAUAACCUACCAGGCUCCUCAGUACAUGGGAUUCUCCAGGCAAGAAUACUGGAGUGGGUUGCCAUUCCCUUCUCCUGAAAAUUAUGCUGCAAAAGUCCCCACAAACAAAAAACAGAAAAUGUGUGUGUGUAUUAAAACAUUAUUUGUUGAAUGAGAAACUAGGGAAACAUUUACAGAAAAAUCCGCUGGCCUCAAAAGUCAGAAAAUCUUAUUUUUCUAAAAGUUUUGAAGCUCUUGGGUUUCUGUGAAGAAGUUGCUCUAUAAUGUUCGUCUCUUUGUGACCCCAUGGACUGUAGCCUGCCAGUCUCCUCUAUCCGUGGGAUUCUCCAGUCCAGAAUACUGGGGUGGGUAGCCAUUAACUUCUCCAGGGGAUUUUUUCAACCCAGGAACUGAACCCAGGUCUCCCACAUUGCAGGUGGCUUCUUUACCAUCUGAGCCCCCAGUACUAUUCAGUUAUUAGGUAGCAUAUUCAUUAUACUUUUGUCAAACAAAUAAAAUAGACAUCAUAUAAUUCUUUUUAUCUCCU